CGCCUGCCCUGUGACGAAAGUUCAACGGCCGCGGUAUUUUGACCGUGCGAAGGUAGCGUAAUCACUUGUCUCUUAAAUGGAGACCUGUAUGAAUGGCAUAACGAGGGCUAGACUGUCUCCUCUCCCCCGUCAAUGAAAUUGAUCUUCCCGUGCAGAAGCGGGAAUACCAACAUAAGACGAGAAGACCCUAUGGAGCUUUAGACCUCGCAGCAGACCACGUUAAAACUCUUGAACCACCAAGACUAAACAAAGUGGCCCCCCGCUGCGAGUCUUUGGUUGGGGCGACCGCGGGGAAAAGACCAGCCCCCGCGUGGUACGGACCAAAUCCCUAAAGCCAGACCCGCAGCUCUAGCAAGCAGAACAUCUGACCUUCAAGAUCCGGCAUUGCCGAUUAACGGACCAAGUUACCCUAGGGAUAACAGCGCAAUCCUCUUUAAGAGCUCAUAUCGACAAGAGGGUUUACGACCUCGAUGUUGGAUCAGGACAACCUAAUGGUGCAGCCGCUAUUAAG
RNAcentral lists this ribosomal RNA (511 nucleotides) under Gobiodon citrinus. RNAcentral describes it as "partial 16S ribosomal RNA". It matches the Rfam family "Bacterial large subunit ribosomal RNA", at positions 1856 to 2569 of the family's 2925-position model. The record is from RNAcentral. Lineage: Eukaryota; Metazoa; Chordata; Actinopteri; Gobiiformes; Gobiidae.